UUAAUGGAAGGAUCUGAAUGGACGUAAAUGUUGAAGAGUUUAGUUGGUGUUGUUUGGAAGAAGAGGUUCCAGAGAGGGGUAAAAUGGAGAUCUGUGUUUGUGAGGAAGAGAAAAGCGAUUUUGAGGUUAGGGUUUUUGGAAGAGAGGUGAAAGAAUUUGGAGGGGUGAGGGGAAGAAGGAGGGGUUGAGGAAUGUGCGAUGGCGUUGUUGAAGAGGUUGAUGUCAUCGAGUUCAUCGGAGGGGGAGAUUGGGAUGGGGGUGGGGUGUGGAGGGAGGAUUCGAGGAGCGAGAAAGAAGAGGAUUGGGAGAGAGAGGAGGAGAGAGAAAGUGAGAACGAAUGGGGUUGAGAACAUUGAGUUUGGUGUUAGGUUUAUUAGUCUGAAUUGUGGGAGUAACAACACUCUUGGAGAUGAUGAAAAGUGGUGGUUAUGGUUGAGGUCUGGAAUUGUGAUUUUAGGUUUUUUGGGGAUGAAAUUGAUGGAGAGAUCAUAGAAAAAUGAGAUUUGGGUUUUGGGAAGUGAGAAUUAUUGAAUUUAAUGAUUGAGAGUGGGUGGAGAAGAUGGGUUUUUUUUGGUUUUGUUUAUUGUUGUUAGGUUUGAGACGUU
This 605-nucleotide long non-coding RNA is filed under the name Lathyrus oleraceus (garden pea). RNAcentral's name for it is "Pisum sativum (pea) long non-coding RNA (PSAT_LNC022588)". The record is from RNAcentral. Lineage: Eukaryota; Viridiplantae; Streptophyta; Magnoliopsida; Fabales; Fabaceae.